AUCAGUUCUUGGCCUUUUGGUUAAGAUAAAGCAUAGUGUCUGGUCUUAUCAAUUUAAUGUCUGAUAUACCCUCUAACCAAGGAUAAUAUAUUUGAUGAGAUAGAAAUGCUUACCCUGAUUUAAACAUUAUACAAUGUUUUCAUGUAUCUAAGUGUAUACUACCCUGCUACUAUGCACACACUUG
This is a small nuclear RNA of Fukomys damarensis (Damara mole-rat), 184 nucleotides long. Its record names the gene U2. It matches the Rfam family "U2 spliceosomal RNA". From Rfam's summary of the family: U2 is a small nuclear RNA (snRNA) component of the spliceosome (involved in pre-mRNA splicing). Complementary binding between U2 snRNA (in an area lying towards the 5' end but 3' to hairpin I) and the branchpoint sequence (BPS) of the intron results the bulging out of an unpaired adenosine, on the BPS, which initiates a nucleophilic attack at the intronic 5' splice site, thus starting the first of two transesterification reactions that mediate splicing. The record is from Ensembl. Lineage: Eukaryota; Metazoa; Chordata; Mammalia; Rodentia; Bathyergidae.